RNAcentral lists this ribosomal RNA (499 nucleotides) under uncultured Glomeromycotina. Its description in RNAcentral is "partial small subunit ribosomal RNA". It matches the Rfam family "Eukaryotic small subunit ribosomal RNA", at positions 591 to 1092 of the family's 1831-position model. Lineage: Eukaryota; Fungi; Glomeromycota. The record is from RNAcentral.
CCAAUAGCGUAUAUUAAAGUUGCUGCAGUUAAAAAGCUCGUAGUUGAAUUUCGGGACUAAUAUGUCGGUCGUGCCUCGGUACGUACUGGUAUUUUUGGUUUCUCCCUUCUGACGAACCUUGAUGUCAUUAAUUUGGUGUCUUGGGGAAUCAGGACUGUUACUUUGAAAAAAUUAGAGUGUUUAAAGCAGGCUCACGCUUGAAUACAUUAGCAUGGAAUAAUGAAAUAGGACGUUUGAUUCUAUUUUGUUGGUUUCUAGGAUUGACGUAAUGAUUAAUAGGGAUAGUUGGGGGCAUUAGUAUUCAAUUGUCAGAGGUGAAAUUCUUGGAUUUAUUGAAGACUAACUACUGCGAAAGCAUUUGCCAAGGAUGUUUUCAUUAAUCAAGAACGAAAGUUAGGGGAUCGAAGACGAUCAGAUACCGUCGUAGUCUUAACCAUAAACUAUGCCGACUAGGGAUCGGAUGAUGUUAAUUUUUUAAUGACUCAUUCGGCGCCUUACG